This 253-nucleotide ribosomal RNA is filed under the name uncultured bacterium. RNAcentral's name for it is "partial 16S ribosomal RNA". It matches the Rfam family "Bacterial small subunit ribosomal RNA", at positions 524 to 776 of the family's 1533-position model. The record is from RNAcentral.
UACGGAGGGUGCAAGCGCUAUCCGGAUUCACUGGGUUUAAAGGGUGCGUAGGUGGGAAUGUAAGUCAGUGGUGAAAUCUCCGUGCUUAACAUGGAAACUGCCAUUGAUACUAUGUUUCUUGAAUUUUCUGGAGGUAAGCGGAAUAUGUCAUGUAGCGGUGAAAUGCUUAGAUAUGACAUAGAACACCAAUUGCGAAGGCAGCUUGCUACAGGGAUAUUGACACUGAGGCACGAAAGCGUGGGGAUCAAACAGG